RNAcentral lists this ribosomal RNA (273 nucleotides) under uncultured bacterium. RNAcentral describes it as "partial 16S ribosomal RNA". It matches the Rfam family "Bacterial small subunit ribosomal RNA", at positions 524 to 796 of the family's 1533-position model. The record is from RNAcentral.
UACAGAGAGUGCAAACGUUGUUCGGAAUUACUGGGCUUAAAGAGCACGUAGGCGGUGUCGUAAGUGUCAGGUGAAAUCCCACGGCUCACCCGUGGAACUGCCUGGCAUACUGCGAUGCUAGAGUGUGGUAGGGGAGAGCGGAACUCUUGGUGGAGCGGUGAAAUGCGUAGAUAUCAAGAGGAACACCGGUGGCGAAGGCGGCUCUCUGGUCCACAACUGACGCUGAGGUGCGAAAGCUAGGGGAGCAAACGGGAUUAGAUACCCGGGUAGUCC